GCGCUCGUAGCUCAGCUGGAUAGAGUACCUGGCUACGAACCAGGCGGUCAGAGGUUCGAAUCCUCUCGAGCG
This 72-nucleotide transfer RNA is filed under the name Vibrio vulnificus. RNAcentral describes it as "tRNA-Arg". It matches the Rfam family "tRNA". From Rfam's summary of the family: Transfer RNA (tRNA) molecules are approximately 80 nucleotides in length. Their secondary structure includes four short double-helical elements and three loops (D, anti-codon, and T loops). The record is from RNAcentral. Lineage: Bacteria; Pseudomonadati; Pseudomonadota; Gammaproteobacteria; Vibrionales; Vibrionaceae. RNAcentral also lists the same sequence under 3 other names.